CAGUCGCCGCGGUAAUACGUAGGUGGCAAGCGUUAUCCGGAAUUAUUGGGCGUAAAGCGCGCGCAGGUGGUUUCUUAAGUCUGAUGUGAAAGCCCACGGCUCAACCGUGGAGGGUCAUUGGAAACUGGGAGACUUGAGUGCAGAAGAGGAAAGUGGAAUUCCAUGUGUAGCGGUGAAAUGCGUAGAGAUAUGGAGGAACACCAGUGGCGAAGGCGACUUUCUGGUCUGUAACUGACACUGAGGCGCGAAAGCGUGGGGAGCAAACAGGAUUAGAUACCCCUGUAGUCCCUGUCUCUUAUAC
RNAcentral lists this ribosomal RNA (301 nucleotides) under uncultured bacterium. Its description in RNAcentral is "partial 16S ribosomal RNA". It matches the Rfam family "Bacterial small subunit ribosomal RNA", at positions 509 to 807 of the family's 1533-position model. The record is from RNAcentral.